AGUGAACGCUGGCGGUAGGCCUAACACAUGCAAGUCGAACGGCAGCACAGUAAGAGCUUGCUCUUACGGGUGGCGAGUGGCGGACGGGUGAGGAAUACAUCGGAAUCUACUUUUUCGUGGGGGAUAACGUAGGGAAACUUACGCUAAUACCGCAUACGACCUACGGGUGAAAGCAGGGGAUCUUCGGACCUUGCGCGAUUGAAUGAGCCGAUGUCGGAUUAGCUAGUUGGCGGGGUAAAGGCCCACCAAGGCGACGAUCCGUAGCUGGUCUGAGAGGAUGAUCAGCCGCACUGGAAGUGGGACACGGUCCAGACUCCUACGGGAGGCAGCAGUGGGGAAUAUUGGACAAAGGGCGCAAGCCUGAUCCAGCCAUACCGCGUGGGUGAAGAAGGCCUUCGGGUUGUAAAGCCCUUUUGUUGGGAAAGAAAAGCAGCAGGUUAAUACCCCGCUGUUCUGACGGUACCCAAAGAAUAAGCACCGGCUAACUUCGUG
This 492-nucleotide ribosomal RNA is filed under the name uncultured bacterium. RNAcentral describes it as "partial 16S ribosomal RNA". It matches the Rfam family "Bacterial small subunit ribosomal RNA", at positions 29 to 507 of the family's 1533-position model. The record is from RNAcentral.